Non-coding RNA from Paramuricea clavata, 1409 nucleotides. NCBI's taxonomy places the organism in Eukaryota, Metazoa, Cnidaria, Anthozoa, Malacalcyonacea, Plexauridae. The record is from the annotation of a GenBank genome assembly.
AAAAAAAUAUACAAGUAAGAUAAUAAGGCCUUCAUAUUUUACUUUUUUUAAAUUAUAUGAAGAAAGGAGUUCUUAUAAGACUACUCUUGCAAUGUAUAUUGCUGAUAUAUGAAGUUUUUUAGGUCCAUGACUUGUCUAUGUAACAAGCAAAUAAACUCUGAAAAUUUCGAACGAAUUAAUUCAGUAUGAACAGUUGGAGAGUUUUUAGUAUUUCGCAAAAUGCUCAUGUGAGAAAAGCGAUUUUAAAGUUUUUGCAUAUAUUAGAAUAACUUAGAUAGAACAAUAUAAUUGAAAAUGGAACAAUAGACUAAACCAAUCGCAUAUCUUUAUCGCUCCGGGUAAGAUCGUGGUUUUACCCUACGAAGGUGUAGAAUUUGCUGGAUUUCUCUCGUUUACGGUACAUUUUCGUUCUUAAAAUUACACGGAUUUUAUAAAGAACGCUAUAAAGACUACAUUUUUACGUUUUUCUAAAAAAUAACGAAUAUUGGAAAAUUUGGGCGGAAGACCACCUUAAUCAUUGAUUAGUAGCGACGGGUAUGUCUAACCAAACCUUUUCUAAUGUUGAUAAAAGCAAUUCUAAUACGCACAAACAAACUGAUUUCAACUUACCUAAACACAGAGGCUUCAAAAUUGCUUUUCUAAACAUUGCAAGUUUACCCAAGCAUAUCGAUGAAUUAAUAUUAAACAUGCAACAUCAAUAUUUAGAUAUACUGGUCUUAAACGAAACUCGUCUUGAUGAAACUAUUAGUAAUUCUGAAAUAUCAAUUGAUAAAUAUACUUUAGUUAGGAACGAUCGAAUACGACACGGAGGCGGUGUAGCUAUAUGUAUAUCAGAAAUUCAAUUAAUUUUAAUCUCAGAAAUGAUCUUCAUGAUGAAGCCCUUGAGUUUCUGUGCGUUGAGAUCAGUAAACCUAAAGUUAAACCACUUCUAAUAUCAACGUGGUACAGACCUCCUAAUUCUUGCACGGAUCUCUUUGACAAACUUCAGGUAAUUUUAGAUAAAAUCGAGUUCCUUGGUAUUGAAAAUAAUAUCAUUGGUGAUUUAAAUUGUAACAUGAGUGCAUCUAUUGCAGAUAAUAAUACUAAACAUUUACUUGAACUAAAUGAGUCAUAUCAAUAUACUCAACUUAUUAAGGAGUCAACUAGAGUUACAAAUAGUUCAUCCACGUUAAUCGAUCUCUUUCUUACUAAUGAACCGAACAACUUUACUUCUGCGGGCGUUAUAGUUCUAGGUAUCAGCGGCCAUAACUUAAUUUAUGCUAUCAGAAAACACUCUAGUGUUAAAUCUAAGCCUAUAACAAUCAAAUCCCGCAGUUAUAAAAAUUUUGAUGAAACUUCAUUCAAGCAUGACAUUGAUGCUAUUUCUUGGCAGUACAUAGUUUCCUUAGAUGAUCCUAUAAAUGCUUGGC